Molecule: ribosomal RNA, 722 nt
Filed under: uncultured Bacillus sp.
Lineage: Bacteria; Bacillati; Bacillota; Bacilli; Caryophanales; Bacillaceae
Description: bacterial SSU rRNA
Rfam family: Bacterial small subunit ribosomal RNA
Source: RNAcentral
AUACAUGCAAGUCGAGCGGACAGAUGGGAGCUUGCUCCCUGAUGUUAGCGGCGGACGGGUGAGUAACACGUGGGUAACCUGCCUGUAAGACUGGGAUAACUCCGGGAAACCGGGGCUAAUACCGGAUGCUUGUUUGAACCGCAUGGUUCAAACAUAAAAGGUGGCUUCGGCUACCACUUACAGAUGGACCCGCGGCGCAUUAGCUAGUUGGUGAGGUAACGGCUCACCAAGGCAACGAUGCGUAGCCGACCUGAGAGGGUGAUCGGCCACACUGGGACUGAGACACGGCCCAAACUCCUACGGGAGGCAGCAGUAGGGAAUCUUCCGCAAUGGACGAAAGUCUGACGGAGCAACGCCGCGUGAGUGAUGAAGGUUUUCGGAUCGUAAAGCUCUGUUGUUAGGGAAGAACAAGUGCCGUUCAAAUAGGGCGGCACCUUGACGGUACCUAACCAGAAAGCCACGGCUAACUACGUGCCAGCAGCCGCGGUAAUACGUAGGUGGCAAGCGUUGUCCGGAAUUAUUGGGCGUAAAGGGCUCGCAGGCGGUUUCUUAAGUCUGAUGUGAAAGCCCCCGGCUCAACCGGGGAGGGUCAUUGGAAACUGGGGAACUUGAGUGCAGAAGAGGAGAGUGGAAUUCCACGUGUAGCGGUGAAAUGCGUAGAGAUGUGGAGGAACACCAGUGGCGAAGGCGACUCUCUGGUCUGUAACUGACGCUGAGGAGCG